RNAcentral lists this ribosomal RNA (936 nucleotides) under Hebeloma vinosophyllum. Its description in RNAcentral is "LSU rRNA". It matches the Rfam family "Eukaryotic large subunit ribosomal RNA", at positions 40 to 961 of the family's 3401-position model. Lineage: Eukaryota; Fungi; Basidiomycota; Agaricomycetes; Agaricales; Hymenogastraceae. The record is from RNAcentral.
AUAUCAAUAAGCGGAGGAAAAGAAACUAACAAGGAUUCCCCUAGUAACUGCGAGUGAAGCGGGAAAAGCUCAAAUUUAAAAUCUGGCGGUCUCCGGCCGUCCGAGUUGUAAUCUAGAGAAGUGUUAUCYGCGCUGGACCGUGUACAAGUCUCCUGGAAUGGAGCAUCAUAGAGGGUGAGAAUCCCGUCUUUGACACGGACUGCCAGGGCUUUGUGAUGCGCUCUCAAAGAGUCGAGUUGUUUGGGAAUGCAGCUCAAAAUGGGUGGUAAAUUCCAUCUAAAGCUAAAUAUUGGCGAGAGACCGAUAGCGAACAAGUACCGUGAGGGAAAGAUGAAAAGAACUUUGGAAAGAGAGUUAAACAGUACGUGAAAUUGCUGAAAGGGAAACGCUUGAAGUCAGUCGCGUUGGCCGGGGAUCAACCUUGCUUUUGCUGGGCGUACUUUCCGGUCGACGGGUCAGCAUCAAUUUUGACCGUUGGAUAAAGUCCAGGGGAAUGUGGCAUCUUCGGAUGUGUUAUAGCCCUUGGUCGCAUACAACGGUUGGGAUUGAGGAACUCAGCACGCCGCAAGGCCGGGUACUUGUACCACGUUCGUGCUUAGGAUGCUGGCAUAAUGGCUUUAAUCGACCCGUCUUGAAACACGGACCAAGGAGUCUAACAUGCCUGCGAGUGUUUGGGUGGAAAACUCGGACGCGUAAUGAAAGUGAAAGUUGAGAUCCCUGUCGCGGGGAGCAUCGACGCCCGGACCAGACCUUUUGUGACGGAUCCGCGGUAGAGCAUGUAUGUUGGGACCCGAAAGAUGGUGAACUAUGCCUGAAUAGGGUGAAGCCAGAGGAAACUCUGGUGGAGGCUCGUAGCGAUUCUGACGUGCAAAUCGAUCGUCAAAUUUGGGUAUAGGGGCGAAAGACUAAUCGAACCAUCUAGUAGCUGGUUCCUGC